This 487-nucleotide ribosomal RNA is filed under the name Bacillus amyloliquefaciens. RNAcentral describes it as "bacterial SSU rRNA". It matches the Rfam family "Bacterial small subunit ribosomal RNA", at positions 59 to 528 of the family's 1533-position model. Lineage: Bacteria; Bacillati; Bacillota; Bacilli; Caryophanales; Bacillaceae. The record is from RNAcentral.
AAGUCGAGCGGACAGAUGGGAGCUUGCUCCCUGAUGUUAGCGGCGGACGGGUGAGUAACACGUGGGUAACCUGCCUGUAAGACUGGGAUAACUCCGGGAAACCGGGGCUAAUACCGGAUGGUUGUCUGAACCGCAUGGUUCAGACAUAAAAGGUGGCUUCGGCUACCACUUACAGAUGGACCCGCGGCGCAUUAGCUAGUUGGUGAGGUAACGGCUCACCAAGGCGACGAUGCGUAGCCGACCUGAGAGGGUGAUCGGCCACACUGGGACUGAGACACGGCCCAGACUCCUACGGGAGGCAGCAGUAGGGAAUCUUCCGCAAUGGACGAAAGUCUGACGGAGCAACGCCGCGUGAGUGAUGAAGGUUUUCGGAUCGUAAAGCUCUGUUGUUAGGGAAGAACAAGUGCCGUUCAAAUAGGGCGGCACCUUGACGGUACCUAACCAGAAAGCCACGGCUAACUACGUGCCAGCAGCCGCGGUAAUACGU